RNAcentral lists this ribosomal RNA (497 nucleotides) under uncultured bacterium. RNAcentral's name for it is "partial 16S ribosomal RNA". It matches the Rfam family "Bacterial small subunit ribosomal RNA", at positions 28 to 507 of the family's 1533-position model. The record is from RNAcentral.
GAUGAACGCUGGCGGCGUGCCUAAUACAUGCAAGUCGAGCGAACAGACGAGGAGCUUGCUCCUCUGACGUUAGCGGCGGACGGGUGAGUAACACGUGGAUAACCUACCUAUAAGACUGGGAUAACUUCGGGAAACCGGGGCUAAUACCGGAUAAUAUAUUGAACCGCAUGGUUCAAUAGUGAAAGACGGUUUUGCUGUCACUUAUAGAUGGACCCGCGCCGCAUUAGCUAGUUGGUAAGGUAACGGCUUACCAAGGCAACGAUGCGUAGCCGACCUGAGAGGGUGAUCGGCCACACUGGAACUGGGACACGGUCCAGACUCCUACGGGAGGCAGCAGUAGGGAAUCUUCCGCAAUGGGCGAAAGCCUGACGGAGCAACGCCGCGUGAGUGAUGAAGGUCUUCGGAUCGUAAAACUCUGUUAUUAGGGAAGAACAAAUGUGUAAGUAACUAUGCACGUCUUGACGGUACCUAAUCAGAAAGCCACGGCUAACUACGUG